AGAUAACGGUAUAGCUGGCAGGCAUGUGUGCAUUCCUGUGUUGGUGCCAGGAAACAGAUUGAUUCAGCAGCUGAGAAAUCAGACUCCAGCUGAUGUGGUCGAGCCAAGUUCAUGUUCCAGAUGGGUCCCUUUCCACUGCACAGCUCUGAAGGUUGAGUCCAGGAGCUAAGCUGGCAUCCAGUGGGUGAGGAGGCAGGGCUACAUCAAGUGGCAGACUGAAGUUACGUCAAUUUUGACAGGAAACGAGAAUGGGAGGCAGCUUCAGAGAGAAACCCACACAUCUGCAGACUCUUUCU
Molecule: long non-coding RNA, 296 nt
Filed under: Cricetulus griseus (Chinese hamster)
Lineage: Eukaryota; Metazoa; Chordata; Mammalia; Rodentia; Cricetidae
Description: lncRNA (ENSCGRG00015034333.1)
Source: RNAcentral